RNAcentral lists this ribosomal RNA (429 nucleotides) under Verrucomicrobiota bacterium. Its description in RNAcentral is "Verrucomicrobia bacterium partial 16S ribosomal RNA". It matches the Rfam family "Bacterial small subunit ribosomal RNA", at positions 355 to 776 of the family's 1533-position model. Lineage: Bacteria; Pseudomonadati; Verrucomicrobiota. The record is from RNAcentral.
UAGGGAAUCUUCGGCAAUGGGGGGAACCCUGACCGAGCAACGCCGCGUGAGUGAAGAAGGCUUUCGGAUCGUAAAGCUCUGUUGUUAAGGAAGAACGAGUGUGAGAAUGGAAAGUUCAUGCUGUGACGGUACUUAACCAGAAAGGGACGGCUAACUACGUGCCAGCAGCCGCGGUAAUACGUAGGUGCCGAGCGUUGUCCGGAUUUAUUGGGCGUAAAGCGAGCGCAGGGGGUUAGAAAAGUCUGAAGUGAAAGGCAGUGGCUCAACCAUUGUAGGCUUUAGAAACUGUUUAACUUGAGUGCAGAAGGGGAGAGUGGAAUUCCAUGUGUAGCGGUGAAAUGCGUAGAUAUAUAGAGGAACACCGGUGGCGAAAGCGGCUCUCUGGUCUGUAACUGACGCUGAGGCUCGAAAGCGUGGGGAGCGAACAGG